Molecule: long non-coding RNA, 1542 nt
Organism: Herpailurus yagouaroundi (jaguarundi)
Lineage: Eukaryota; Metazoa; Chordata; Mammalia; Carnivora; Felidae
Exons: 3
Source: RefSeq, a predicted model, not a curated record
GUCCCGGGCUCACAUCCCCCGCCCCUCCGGCCGCCCCAGCGACCGACCCCGGCUCUUCCUCCCCCUCCCGCGCCCCGGGCCGGGGUCGCUCUGCAAUUUUGAAACAAACGGCUGGAACCCCAAAGCCACACCUGCUCCCAAGUGGACUGGGGGGGGUCCCAAACAGCCGAGCCGAGCGGACGACCUUCACCUCAGCCCCUGGGCGCCCGCAGCGCCCGCCCGAAGCUCACGCGGGCCGGGGCGGCCUUGGGGGGGGGGGGGGCGUUGCCCCGAGGUUCCAGCUUUUCGCAGCCGGUGCGCGGACUUGGGUGACUGGGGUCGGAUGGAGUCUUCUCGGACCCGAGGGCAGCGAGGGCGGCCGGAGGGGACGCUGGUCCGGAAUGUCCCGACCCCGGGGUUGCGCACGCCCGGCUCCGGGAGCUCCAGAUACUUCUCAUUUCGCCCAAGAGGAGGACAGAGACAGGACAGUGAAGGAAGUUCAUUCGCGGCUCAGACAAACCCAGGCCAUGGUUUCCUAUGCGGUCACGUCUGCCCGGCACAUCUCCGAUCAAGUGUCCAGAGGCAGGCAGAGGGGCCUCUCCUCUUGCCCCCUCGCCUCUCACUGGCCAAGUGCCCAUUGCUGGCGAGGACGGGGCCACCUCGAUGCCUUGGCUUUGAGGAGGUCCACGUGUUGCCUCAGCCGGAUUUUGGCUGCCUGGGCAGAAGGUAGGGGACCCCAUCGUCACCUUGCUGUAAUGCCUCAACCCCAAGGAAGGCAUCGGGACCAGUGGAGCCUCAGUUGAGCUGGAGGACGAUCCCAGAGCCGCUCGGAACCUCCGCAUCUUCCUCUGUACCACGGGCUGCCGGCACCCGCGGGCGGCUGUGAGGGGUACGCGGCUGUGUCCACACAAGGCACGGGUUGCACCAUUCGAACCUUCAGUCAGCGUGUGGUGAAUGUCAACUAUCACGAUUAGCAUUACCUCCUUUUCCCCCAAAGUCCUUCCUCUGGUGAAGCUACUCAAUGUGAACGUUUAAACGUUUAACAAUGUUUUUGAUACAAUGUGCUGCUUCAGACCCUAAGGAUCUCAGGUAAGGGUUUGCAGACCUGUGUAUGUUUUUCACAAGUAUUACAAAUGUAAAUGAGAUAAAACUUUACCUUUUUCUGGAAUCUUUGAGCGAUAUUUGUACUUUUUUUCCCAUUUCAUUUUCUUCUGAUUUUUUAAUCGUGGUAAAAUACACACAACAGAAACCUCACUGUCUAAACCAUGGAAACGUACAUUUCAGUGUAAUGGACUGACGUGCAGCUGUGACUACCAUCCAUCCGCCCCUGUAAUCGCUUCCGUCUUGGAAAACUGAACCUCUCUGCCCACUGACACUAGCUCCCGGCUCCCCCAGCCCCUGGCACCACCACAGGAUGCCGGAAGAACACCAUCCUCCCCCUCUGGGGGAGGCAGACACUGUUCUGAGAGCGGGAGGCGGAAACGCUCCAGUGGGAAGCCGGCCCUUUACCAGACAAAGGGCUCAGAGGGAGCAAUCCGCCUCCGCUGCCGACUCCACUCUUCU